UACAGAGGUGGCAAGCGUUGUUCGGAAUUACUGGGCGUAAAGGGCUCGUAGGUGGCCAACUAAGUCAGACGUGAAAUCCCCAGGCUCAACUUGGGAACUGCGUCUGAUACUGGAUGGCUUGAAUUCGGGAGAGGGAUGCAGAAUUCCAGGUGUAGCGGUGAAAUGCGUAGAUAUCUGGAGGAAUACCGGUGGCGAAGGCGGCAUCCUGGACCGAGAUUGACACUGAUGAGCGAAAGCUAGGGGAGCAAACGGG
This 253-nucleotide ribosomal RNA is filed under the name uncultured bacterium. RNAcentral's name for it is "partial 16S ribosomal RNA". It matches the Rfam family "Bacterial small subunit ribosomal RNA", at positions 524 to 776 of the family's 1533-position model. The record is from RNAcentral.